Non-coding RNA from Gossypium hirsutum (cotton), 137 nucleotides. NCBI's taxonomy places the organism in Eukaryota, Viridiplantae, Streptophyta, Magnoliopsida, Malvales, Malvaceae. The record is from Rfam.
UGUUAAAAAUUUCAUCUAUUUUUACUAUUUAAAACUGGCAUGACUAAUGAAAUAAUCAGAGCUACACGUGACGUGCCAUAUGUACUUUAUUCUGACAUACAGAGGCUAGUUUUUAAUAGUUGAUUAAGUUUCUAACA